RNAcentral lists this ribosomal RNA (429 nucleotides) under Chloroflexota bacterium. Its description in RNAcentral is "Chloroflexi bacterium partial 16S ribosomal RNA". It matches the Rfam family "Bacterial small subunit ribosomal RNA", at positions 355 to 776 of the family's 1533-position model. Lineage: Bacteria; Bacillati; Chloroflexota. The record is from RNAcentral.
UGGGGAAUAUUGCACAAUGGGCGCAAGCCUGAUGCAGCCAUGCCGCGUGUGUGAAGAAGGCCUUCGGGUUGUAAAGCACUUUCAGCGGGGAGGAAGGCGAUAAGGUUAAUAACCUUGUCGAUUGACGUUACCCGCAGAAGAAGCACCGGCUAACUCCGUGCCAGCAGCCGCGGUAAUACGGAGGGUGCAAGCGUUAAACGGAAUUACUGGGCGUAAAGCGCACGCAGGCGGUCUGUCAAGUCGGAUGUGAAAUCCCCGGGCUCAACCUGGGAACUGCAUUCGAAACUGGCAGGCUAGAGUCUUGUAGAGGGGGGUAGAAUUCCAGGUGUAGCGGUGAAAUGCGUAGAGAUCUGGAGGAAUACCGGUGGCGAAGGCGGCCCCCUGGACAAAGACUGACGCUCAGGUGCGAAAGCGUGGGGAGCAAACAGG